UGCCUAAACCUCCGAAUUUAUCGGUGGCACGGCGUCAGAGAAAGCCCGUAGCAAACAUUAACGGUCUCCUGACCGGCACUUGUUUUGCUACGGGUUCACAUCUGAAAGGGUGUGAGGCAACUUCGAAAGGGGUUGUC
Molecule: small RNA, 137 nt
Filed under: unclassified sequences
Description: LOOT RNA
Rfam family: LOOT RNA
About the family: Latescibacteria, OD1/Parcubacteria, OP11, TM7. Lineage (Microgenomates, aka OP11)
Source: Rfam by way of RNAcentral